GGUCAAGCGAAUAAGCGCACACGGUGGAUGCCUUGGCGGUCAGAGGCGAUGAAGGACGUGGCAGCCUGCGAAAAGUAUCGGGGAGCUGGCAACAAGCUUUGAUCCGGUAAUGUCCGAAUGGGGAAACCCACCCGCUUGCGGGUAUCCUGCAGUGAAUACAUAGCUGCUGGAAGCGAACCUGGUGAACUGAAAUAUCUAAGUAACCAGAGGAAAAGAAAUCAACCGAGAUUCCGUAAGUAGCGACGAGCGAACGCGGACUAGCCCUUAAGCUGAUUUGGUUCUAGGAAAACGCUCUGGAAAGAGCGGCCAUAGAAGGUGAUAGCCCUGUAUCUGAAAGGGCCAUUUCAGUGAAGACGAGUAGGGCGGGGCACGUGAAACCCUGUCUGAACAUGGGGGGACCAUCCUCCAAGGCUAAAUACUACUGACCGACCGAUAGUGAACCAGUACCGUGAGGGAAAGGCGAAAAGAACCCCGGAGAGGGGAGUGAAAUAGAACCUGAAACCGUGUGCGUACAAGCAGUAGGAGCUCCGCAAGGAGUGACUGCGUACCUUUUGUAUAAUGGGUCAGCGACUUACUGUUCGUGGCAAGCUUAACCGUAUAGGGGAGGCGAAGGGAAACCGAGUCUGAUAAGGGCGCAUAGUCGCGGGCAGUAGACCCGAAACCGGGUGAUCUAGUCAUGCCCAGGGUGAAGGUGCGGUAACACGCACUGGAGGCCCGAACCCACUCCCGUUGCAAAGGUAGGGGAUGAGGUGUGAUUAGGAGUGAAAAGCUAAUCGAACCCGGAGAUAGCUGGUUCUCCUCGAAAGCUAUUUAGGUAGCGCCUCAUAUGUAUCCUCUCGGGGGUAGAGCACUGUUAUGGCUAGGGGGUCAUCGCGACUUACCAAACCAUUGCAAACUCCGAAUACCGAGACGGACUGUAUGGGAGACACACGGCGGGUGCUAACGUCCGUCGUGAAAAGGGAAACAACCCAGACCCACAGCUAAGGUCCCAAAUUUUGUGCUAAGUGGAAAACCAUGUGGAAAGGCACAGACAGCCAGGAGGUUGGCUUAGAAGCAGCCACCCUUUAAAGAAAGCGUAAUAGCUCACUGGUCGAGUCGGUCUGCGGGGAAGAUUUAACGGGGCUAAGCACAGAACCGAAGCUUGGGGUGCAUAACUUUGUUAUGCGCGGUAGAGGAGCGUUCCGUAAGCCGUUGAAGGUGGAUUGAGAAGUCUGCUGGAGGUAUCGGAAGUGCGAAUGCUGACAUGAGUAACGAUAAUGCGGGUGAAAAACCCGCACGCCGAAAGCCCAAGGUUUCCUUGCGCAACGUUAAUCGGCGCAGGGUGAGUCGGCCCCUAAGGCGAGGACGAAAGUCGUAGUCGAUGGGAAGCAGGUUAAUAUUCCUGCACCUCGCGUAAGUGCGAUGGAGGGACGGAGAAGGUUAGGUGUACCAGGCGUUGGUUGUCCUGGGGAAAGGCGGUAGGUUUGGAUCUUUGGCAAAUCCGGGAUCCUCUAAGACCGAGCACCGAGACGAGCCUUUAUGGCAAAGUCACUGAUACCACGCUUCCAGGAAAAGCUCCUAAGCUUCAGCUUACGCAGACCGUACCGUAAACCGACACAGGUGGGUAGGAUGAGAAUUCUCAGGCGCUUGAGAGAACUCGGGUGAAGGAACUAGGCAACAUGGCACCGUAACUUCGGGAGAAGGUGCACCCUUUUUGGUGGCUCGUGCGAGCUAUAGCUGAAGAGGGUCGCAGUAACCAGGCCGCUGCGACUGUUUAUCAAAAACACAGCACUCUGCAAACACGAAAGUGGACGUAUAGGGUGUGACGCCUGCCCGGUGCUGGAAGGUUAAUUGAUGGGGUCAGCCGCAAGGCGAAGCUCUUGAUCGAAGCCCCAGUAAACGGCGGCCGUAACUAUAACGGUCCUAAGGUAGCGAAAUUCCUUGUCGGGUAAGUUCCGACCUGCACGAAUGGCGUAACGACAGCGGCGCUGUCUCCACCCGAGACUCAGUGAAAUUGAAAUCGCUGUGAAGAUGCAGCGUUCCCGUGGCAAGACGGAAAGACCCCGUGAACCUUUACUAUAGCUUUACACUGAACGUUGAGUUCGUCUGUGUAGGAUAGGUGGGAGGCUAUGAAACCAUGGCGCUAGCUGUGGUGGAGCCAUCCUUGAAAUACCACCCUGUCGUGCUUGACGUUCUAACCUGGGCCCAUUAUCUGGGUCGGGGACCGUGUAUGGUGGGUAGUUUGACUGGGGCGGUCUCCUCCUAAAGAGUAACGGAGGAGCUCGAAGGUACGCUCAGCGCGGUCGGACAUCGCGCACUGUGUGCAAAGGCAUAAGCGUGCUUGACUGCAAGAUCGACGGAUCAAGCAGGUAGGAAACUAGGACUUAGUGAUCCGGUGGUUCUGUAUGGAAGGGCCAUCGCUCAACGGAUAAAAGGUACUCCGGGGAUAACAGGCUGAUACCGCCCAAGAGUUCAUAUCGACGGCGGUGUUUGGCACCUCGAUGUCGGCUCAUCACAUCCUGGGGCUGUAGUCGGUCCCAAGGGUAUGGCUGUUCGCCAUUUAAAGUGGUACGCGAGCUGGGUUCAGAACGUCGUGAGACAGUUCGGUCCCUAUCUGCCAUGGGCGUUGGAGAUUUGAGAGGGGCUGCUCCUAGUACGAGAGGACCGGAGUGGACGAACCUCUGGUGUUCCGGUUGUCACGCCAGUGGCAUUGCCGGGUAGCUAUGUUCGGAAGCGAUAACCGCUGAAAGCAUCUAAGCGGGAAGCGCGCCUCAAGAUGAGAUCUCCCGGGGCACAAGCCCCCUGAAGGAACCAUGUAGACUACGUGGUUGAUAGGUCAGGUGUGUAAGUACAGCAAUGUAUUGAGCUAACUGAUACUAAUGAUCCGUGCGGCUUGACCAU
Molecule: ribosomal RNA, 2880 nt
Filed under: Stenotrophomonas maltophilia
Lineage: Bacteria; Pseudomonadati; Pseudomonadota; Gammaproteobacteria; Lysobacterales; Lysobacteraceae
Also listed under: 4 other names
Description: 23S ribosomal RNA
Rfam family: Bacterial large subunit ribosomal RNA
Source: RNAcentral